RNAcentral lists this long non-coding RNA (741 nucleotides) under Phoenix dactylifera (date palm). RNAcentral describes it as "long non-coding RNA (PDAC_LNC018736)". Lineage: Eukaryota; Viridiplantae; Streptophyta; Magnoliopsida; Arecales; Arecaceae. The record is from RNAcentral.
UUUUCUCCUCUCUUCAUUUGUACUAGAUAUUAAAAAAAAAAAGAAGAUUGCACACCAUAGUCGUGCUCAAAAAGACAGUCACCAAUCCAAGAGCUUAGUCGUCCUUUAUCUCAUUUUCGGCAGUCGCUAGUCCAUUACAAAUCACCGCCUUUGUUGACUCCAAAGGAGACAUGCAUACUUAAAGGACUUCAGUUUAGGCAGACUCAAGCCUUGAUAAGAUAUAAUUCGUACUAGAUAAUAUUAAGCAUUGUUGUUUAUGUCAUAAUUUUCAACCAUGUCCAUCCAAAUGUCAGAAGAAAGCUUGUCUUGCACUGCUUUUUGUUUACAGUAUUUUGCCAUGGUAUCUAUUCCAAUUAUAAACAAAGGAAAGUUGACUGGUAAAGGCUAUCCUUUCAUUUGUAUUAGUUUAUGCUGAUACAUUUAAGUCGAUAUAUUGUUAGUUACUCUCUUUGUUUCAAGGCAUUUGAAGUUGUUGGAACAUCACUCCAUUGGGCAAAUAGAUUUCAUUCUGUAAGCAUCUCUGAACAAUGUUGUUCAUGCAUUAUAAAGGUCAGUGGUCGCUGAGACCCUUUUUGUGAUGUUCCUAUCACAAUGGUUCUUAGCUUGUUUAAAAUGUGGAGCACAUUAUAAGAUGAUAUUGCAAUAAUAGAGGUUGAGAUAUUUUUGAUGAGAGAGAUAUAUAGAAAAUAUAUGAUGCUCAAGAAUAAUUGGUGUUCCAUCAUGAGUUUUUUGAGCCAGUUU